This 393-nucleotide ribosomal RNA is filed under the name Odocoileus virginianus (white-tailed deer). RNAcentral's name for it is "SSU rRNA". It matches the Rfam family "Eukaryotic small subunit ribosomal RNA", at positions 1184 to 1593 of the family's 1831-position model. The record is from RNAcentral. Lineage: Eukaryota; Metazoa; Chordata; Mammalia; Artiodactyla; Cervidae.
UGCGGCUUAAUUUGACUCAACACGGGAAACCUCACCCGGCCCGGACACGGACAGGAUUGACAGAUUGAUAGCUCUUUCUCGAUUCCGUGGGUGGUGGUGCAUGGCCGUUCUUAGUUGGUGGAGCGAUUUGUCUGGUUAAUUCCGAUAACGAACGAGACUCUGGCAUGCUAACUAGUUACGCGACCCCCGAGCGGUCGGCGUCCCCCAACUUCUUAGAGGGACAAGUGGCGUUCAGCCACCCGAGAUUGAGCAAUAACAGGUCUGUGAUGCCCUUAGAUGUCCGGGGCUGCACGCGCGCUACACUGACUGGCUCAGCGUGUGCCUACCCUACGCCGGCAGGCGCGGGUAACCCGUUGAACCCCAUUCGUGAUGGGGAUCGGGGAUUGCAAUUAU